RNAcentral lists this non-coding RNA (209 nucleotides) under Mesorhizobium australicum. Lineage: Bacteria; Pseudomonadati; Pseudomonadota; Alphaproteobacteria; Hyphomicrobiales; Phyllobacteriaceae. The record is from RNAcentral.
UCUAGAUGUUGUGGUCAUGGUUCUUCCGAGUCGUUCCAGCUCGGAAGCUAAGAGGGAAGCCGGUGCGUGUUCACAAUGCCGGCGCUGCCCCCGCAACUGUAAGCAGUGAGCUUGCGUCGAGAUUAGCCACUGGUGCCUGACGGCGCCGGGAAGGCCGACAAAAGCGGCGACCUGCGAGCCAGGAGACCUGCCGUGACGGAUCUGAACGA